RNAcentral lists this ribosomal RNA (301 nucleotides) under uncultured bacterium. Its description in RNAcentral is "partial 16S ribosomal RNA". It matches the Rfam family "Bacterial small subunit ribosomal RNA", at positions 509 to 807 of the family's 1533-position model. The record is from RNAcentral.
CAGCCGCCGCGGUAAUACGAAGGGGGCUAGCGUUGCUCGGAAUGACUGGGCGUAAAGGGCGCGUAGGCGGAUUGUUUAGUUAGGCGUGAAAUUCCUGGGCUUAACCUGGGGACUGCGCUUAAUACAGGCAGUCUAGAGUGAGGAAGAGGGUUGUGGAAUUCCCAGUGUAGAGGUGAAAUUCGUAGAUAUUGGGAAGAACACCGGUGGCGAAGGCGGCAACCUGGUCCAUUACUGACGCUGAGGCGCGACAGCGUGGGGAGCAAACAGGAUUAGAUACCCCCGUAGUCCCUGUCUCUUAUAC